RNAcentral lists this transfer RNA (73 nucleotides) under Perkinsus olseni. RNAcentral describes it as "tRNA-Ile". It matches the Rfam family "tRNA". Rfam says of the family: Transfer RNA (tRNA) molecules are approximately 80 nucleotides in length. Lineage: Eukaryota; Perkinsozoa; Perkinsida; Perkinsidae. The record is from RNAcentral.
GGUCCUGUAGCUCAGUGGUUAGAGCGACGGUCUUAUGAGCCAUAGGCCGUGGGUUCGACCCCCGCCGGGACUA